Molecule: long non-coding RNA, 1102 nt
Organism: Arachis duranensis
Lineage: Eukaryota; Viridiplantae; Streptophyta; Magnoliopsida; Fabales; Fabaceae
Exons: 3
Source: RefSeq, a predicted model, not a curated record
CUUUGUUUCUUUCUCCCUUUCUCCCUCCCUUUCUUUCAUUCACAGAAACUCAGCCAAAAAACCCUAGCACUGUAAGUCUACACCACCGCCGCAAGGAGUGGCAUACUGCCGCCGUCCGUCCGUCCGUCUAUCUAGCUUUCCUCGUACUCCAAGUCUUUAACCCCUGUUCGCUGUCACCGAUCGCAGCUGCUUCCUCGAACUCGGCGUCCGUCGUCUUUGUCUGCUUAGCCGCGCUUCCGCCGCCGUUUAUUUGCCGUUCACGUUCGCGUCUUCGUUCAGCCGUCGUCUUCGUUCGCGGUCUUCGCCGUUUAAGUUUGCUCGGCGUUUACCAUUCGCGUUCACUCGCCGUUCACCGUUCGUGUUCGCAUUCGCAUUCGUCUGGAAGCCACGUUGCUCUGCUUCAAAAUCUGCGUCCAACCCGCGCGCUCCACCUAGCCGUCAAACUGCUCUCUUUGUCGUCGCGAUGAAAAGGAGAAAGCAAGAGGAUAAAGUGAAGAGGGUGCAACAGCAGGAGGAAUGUUUUAAGCAUGUUAAGCUUGGUCGUCGGAUGAAGCUUUGAUCAUGGCUCUCUUUCUCCUUCUGUGCCCUUUUUCUUCUACACCCCUCUAUUUGUUUUAGGGUAGGGUUCAGAGAGAGGGAUAGUGGUUGAGAUUUAUGGGAGUGAUUGGAAUAUGGGUCAAAUCGAAAAGCUGGAUUUGUGGCCAUUGAGCUGUUUUUCGCUCUCAUGAUGGCAAUUGUUAGGUGAUCCAAUAGCUUCCACAGGUUAGUAGGCAUUAGAUUGAUUUAAGUUUUCUAACGAUGUAUUCAUUGGGACACUUGCUCUGUUGGGUCUUCGUUUGUUAUCCUCAAUUUGUUGUUGAAAAAAGCUAUAGCAAUAAUAGAAGCAUAAUGUCUAAAACUAGUUUUAGUAUUUAAGGCAUAUAACUAUAAAUUUAUAUAGAAAAACAAAUUCAGAUUACAUAAAGGGACUAAAUGAACAUCAAUAAGGGGUGUGUGUCUGUGUGUGUUAAACACACUAAAUUCAAAAUUAGUUUUAGUAUUUAAGGUAUACAACUAUAAAUUUAUGCAGAAAAAUAAGUUCAGAUUACAUAAAGGGACUAAA